RNAcentral lists this unclassified non-coding RNA (337 nucleotides) under soil metagenome. RNAcentral describes it as "partial contains 5.8S ribosomal RNA, internal transcribed spacer 2, and large subunit ribosomal RNA". The stretch from base 1 to 120 matches the Rfam family "5.8S ribosomal RNA", at positions 35 to 154 of the family's 154-position model. The record is from RNAcentral.
GAUGAAGAACGUAGCGAAAUGCGAUAAGUAGUGUGAAUUGCAGAAUUCAGUGAAUCAUCGAAUCUUUGAACGCACAUUGCGCCCCUUGGUAUUCCAUGGGGCAUGCCUGUUCGUGCGUCAUUUGUACCUUCAAGCUCUGCUUGGUGUUGGGUGUUUGUCUCGCCUCUGCGUGUAGACUCGCCUCAAAAUAAUUGGCAGCCGGCGUAUUGAUUUCGGAGCGCAGUACAUCUCGCGCUUUGCACUCAUAACGACGACGUCCAAAAGUACAUUUUUACACUCUUGACCUCGGAUCAGGUAGGGAUACCCGCUGAACUUAAGCAUAUCAAUAAGCGGAGGA